GAUGAACGCUGGCGGCGUGCCUAAUACAUGCAAGUCGAACGAAACUUCUUUAUCACCGAGUGCUUGCACUCACCGAUAAAGAGUUGAGUGGCGAACGGGUGAGUAACACGUGGGCAACCUGCCCAAAAGAGGGGGAUAACACUUGGAAACAGGUGCUAAUACCGCAUAACCAUAGUUACCGCAUGGUAACUAUGUAAAAGGUGGCUGUGCUACCGCUUUUGGAUGGGCCCGCGGCGCAUUAGCUAGUUGGUGGGGUAAAGGCUUACCAAGGCAAUGAUGCGUAGCCGAACUGAGAGGUUGAUCGGCCACAUUGGGACUGAGACACGGCCCAAACUCCUACGGGAGGCAGCAGUAGGGAAUCUUCCACAAUGGGCGAAAGCCUGAUGGAGCAACGCCGCGUGGGUGAAGAAGGUCUUCGGAUCGUAAAACCCUGUUGUUAGAGAAGAAAGUGCGUGAGAGUAACUGUUCACGUUUCGACGGUAUCUAACCAGAAAGCCACGGCUAACUACGUGCCAGCAGCCGCGGUAAUACGUAGGUGGCAAGCGUUAUCCGGAUUUAUUGGGCGUAAAGGGAACGCAGGCGGUCUUUUAAGUCUGAUGUGAAAGCCUUCGGCUUAACCGAAGUAGUGCAUUGGAAACUGGGAGACUUGAGUGCAGAAGAGGAGAGUGGAACUCCAUGUGUAGCGGUGAAAUGCGUAGAUAUAUGGAAGAACACCAGUGGCGAAAGCGGCUCUCUGGUCUGUAACUGACGCUGAG
RNAcentral lists this ribosomal RNA (755 nucleotides) under uncultured Lactobacillus sp. RNAcentral's name for it is "bacterial SSU rRNA". It matches the Rfam family "Bacterial small subunit ribosomal RNA", at positions 28 to 750 of the family's 1533-position model. Lineage: Bacteria; Bacillati; Bacillota; Bacilli; Lactobacillales; Lactobacillaceae. The record is from RNAcentral.